Molecule: long non-coding RNA, 6312 nt
Filed under: Lynx pardinus (Iberian lynx)
Lineage: Eukaryota; Metazoa; Chordata; Mammalia; Carnivora; Felidae
Source: RNAcentral
UAUGGGGACAAGGGGGUGGGGUCCAAGGCAGCUUUGAGGAUUUGUUCGAUGGCCCUCCCUUCUCAUUGUUUUUCUUUUCUGCUCCUCGUCAUGCCCCCUGCCAGUGCCAUGGUUCCAGCUGUAGUCCUCCGGUGAGGCUCCCUGCUGCCCGUCCCUCUCCUUUCCAGGCCCUUCUGCGUGCAGCGGCCAUCUUGUCUUUUCUUGCUUAGAGGUUUAAAAUGGUUUCUCAUCAUUUCCAGAGUACAAUUCCUUCCCUUUGGCACAGUGCUGAGGACUGUCUGUAACUAGCCUUAGCUCUCCUCUGCAGUCUUACUCUUCUGCGUUUCCCCAGGUGGACCACGUAUUCCAACAAAGCCAGGCAACUCACUUUUUCUUGCUUUUCCUAUCUCUCGGUUUUCCCUACUGGUAUUUUCCAUGCCUCCUUGGCUCCACCGCACCCACCUGCGGCAGCCCCACCGUCCUCCUUGGACCUUUCCCGAUCACCUUCACAAGCAGCAGUCCUCGUAACCUCUCCUUGCUCCCUCCGGCCAAGCUCUCGUACACUUUGUCCCUCUCGUGUGCUACUUCGGUGGCCUUACGGCUCUUGGUGUAGAAGUCUUGGGUCACCUACGAGAUGAUGAGCUGCAAGACGCUGAGAGUCAAGGAAGGAAGACACUUAACCUAUUUGGUGCCUUCUGUUCGCCAGGUGCCACGUCAGGCUGUUCCACGGACCUUCUUUCAUUUACUGCUUUCCACAACCCUCCGAGGAGAGUCCCGUGACUGGUAAGUGUUCUGAUCAUGAUUAGAACCCCUGUUUCCCCAAACCUUUGCCUUCUUCUUUACCUCUCAGUUCUCAGUGUCUGCCACGUGGCUCUUACAAGGUAGAUCCCCAGAACGUGCCUGUUUAAGGAAUUUCAUACACCUCUAAUGCCAUAUGGGAGUUUGGGUGGCCGCUCUUCCUGUGCCCGAGGUCUGGGUCUCGUAGCUGUUCCACGCUCCCCUGGACCCUGCUACCUCGUUAACUUUCUCCUCUUCCUUUGCGGUCAGGUUCACUCAAGAUGAUGGCUUUUUUUUUUUUUUGUAGCUGAAAUUUUGUUGGAUUAACAAACCUCAGUUAUCCUACUUACCUUCCUCCUGGAAGAGAAGGUGGAGGUGGGAUGGUUGUAGUACCUUCAGAGCAGAGUGAGCUCCAGAACCCAGGAUCAGUGGAGAUCGGACAAGGCAGGGAGCAGGACCAUUGCACUUGGAUCUUGACCCUGCCUCAUCUUGUUAGGUGGUUUUUCUGAGGCUUAGUGACCUCAGUCAGUGACAUGGAGCCACUGUAAUCUACAGUGAAAUGCCUAAUAUAUUGCCAAGCAAACAGGCUCCUGACAGAAAGUGGUGCACCUCCCUUUCCCCUGCCCAGCUGUUUUAUCGGGGACUUAAGAAGAGUACGUAGCAGGUGGCUGGAGAAGGAAUGGGGGGAAGGGAGCUUGCCAGCCUUCAGUGAUACCAGAGGCAGGGGAGGAGGUGACCGGGCAUUGCACACCUGAAGCCUGCGAGGAAGUGCUUUUCCCUGACCUGGAGUAAAGACCCCCUUAACUUCUGCAUCGGGAAAACGCUGUGGGACCAGAGCCGUGAGGUCAGGGUGGGUGGUGGCAGCGUGAGGGUUAACCAGUGAUCCUUCCUGGGAGCCUCGUGACGCCAGGUUAGCUUCCCCUCUUUCCGAAUCGAAUCGCAGCAGUGGCUGCCUGCUUCCUGACGCUGCUGCAUCCCGUGGGAGGGGAGUUGGGCACCCUGAAGCCCCUCGUCACCGAUUCCGGGGCUGCAGAGCAGAGAGUGACGACAGCCCAUGAGUCGUCAGCCGACGGCAAUGGGGACCCUGGUGACGGCUGCUUUGUUGUGUUUUUCCUCUUUGGAUGAUGACUCAGUGUGUCGGGAGCUGGGAGAUGGGGCACUCAGCCGAAUGGCCAGGACGUUCUGUCAACAUGAAAGCAGCAAAAACAGCUUAUCGGGGCUCAGAGCCGACCCUUAGGCUGGGUUCAUUUUCGGGAAGGGCUUGGCAGAGAAGAGCACUUCUGGACAUCGGGGGUGGGGAGACAAGGCCAGGUAACCCAACAGGGGUCUGUGGACCCUUCAGUUUCAGAAACCAAAAAGAAAAUGCAGCUGCUUGUGUUAUUAGAUAAGCUUGGCAAACGGUCAUUUUACAAGCUCCUCUCACCCGUCCCAAACAAGAGACAUCUUCUCAGGGCCAGAAAACCCUCCGGGAUUUCUCACCAUGGCUCAUUGUCAUAGAUGGAGGGUGAGCCCGUCUCGGGUAGGGUGGGCCUGGGAGUCCUUAGUGAUCACUGGCAUUCCGGGGCCCCGGAAGCAAGAGCCCAUGGUGGGGACGUGGCGUCUCAGGUGACCUCUGCUGGCAUCACACCAGCAGACGGUGUCACCCACCAGAAGAUGGUGGGUCCACGUCACCGGCCUCAAGCCGAAGGCCAGCUCUGGCGCAGCCUACUUCAGCCUCCCCUUUCCUUAUUGUCCCGAGUCAAACUUACCUUCUCGCCUUUCAUCGUCCUCAAUUCCUUCUUAGGUGAAAUAGUGGGCCUUGAGUCCUUGACCUUUGUGUGUGUGUGUGUGUGUGUGCGUCAUCAUGGCGGCUCAGGGUUCUAGACUUUUCUUGAAUCUGCAGCAUUGCGCUAAGGGCGCGUGACAUUCCCCCCCGCCCCGCCCGCCCGGCCCCGCCCAACCAUGGCCAGCCAUGCCUUCUUGGGAGCAAGAGAGGCCUGGGCCUCCAUUGCCACUGAAUCUCAGGCAAACCACUAUCCUCAGCAUCUGGCUUCCCUUCUCUCCUCUGUCUCCCUCGGCCCUUGUCUGGGGACAGAGGAGCAAACAACUUGUGGGUGGGGAAUUGAGGACGGCCUGGCCCAGGACCACCCUGCCUAUGUACCCCUUAGGCCAUUUUUCAGUCUCCUGCUUUCCCAUAGAUGAUGCUUAGCACUGACAUUUGUCGCCGAGCACCUCCUCCGCUCCCCAAGGACCUCCCAGUGUGACUCAUUUGGGAUCUCUGCAAGGAGUGGCUUUGGGGCCUUGGGAGCCAGGGGGAGCAGGAAGACCUGGUGGAGGUCACAGUGGAGAGGUACGCAGGGCAAAGGACGAGAGCCGGCUGUCCCUGGCCCAGAAUGCAAAGGCAGCCCCAGCCCCUUUGUGUCAUGUCAUUUUGAGCCUGAAUAGAGAGCAACUUGACCUAAAAAAAAAAUCGUAUAUAUGUGGAUGUUAGAUCCUUUGUGUCUCUUUGUCCAGAAGCUGCGCAUAUGACGAGGGCUCAGAUUCUGUACUUCAGAGAGCUCUGCUGUCCCUCAGGUUUGUUUUCCGAAGGAGGUGGUAGUUCCUCUUUGAUGAGACCCUGUGCCCACGGGGACUGGACUUUUCUCCAGGACAAGGGGCACAGCCUUGUCUUGUUGCUAUCAUUGGAUAGUGAGCAGCAGCUGAAGACCAUGGUCCCGGGGCCACAUAUUAGCCCCAGAUGGAACCCUGAUUGGGGCUUGCAGAAUUCAUUGCUUGGCUGGCUGGCCCCAAGAGCUGAGCCUACCUGGCUUCCUUUCACUUCUUCCCCACUGAGAACUCAGAGGAGUUGAGCUCCAUGAGUCGGUGACAGCCUCUUGGAGACUCAGGCUAAGCUGGGGACAGAGCUGGUGUGCAGAAGACAGCCAUCAUACCGCCUAAUAGAAUGGCUUGCAUUUAUUUGGAACGAAAAAAGGAGAUGCCUGGCAGCCUGGCUUUCUGCAGCUAAGUAUUCGUCUGCAUUCUGGUUUUCCGUCACACAUCGGAAGCGAUAGAUGUUCAUUGAACCCACCCAGCUGCCGUGACUUCUCCUUUCCCCGCGCACCCCUGCCCCUGAUCCUCCAGCAGAGAUUGGAUUUUCUGGUGCGGCUGGAGAGCUGCAGAGAGGCUAGAUCCCAGUGUCCAGCCCCCGCACAUCGCCCUCACAUUCAGGAGAAGUCGAUUUUCCCUAAAGCGGAGCCUAAAGCCCAUGUCCCUCAGUGCGGUGUUAUUAAUGGGCCGACGGGAAGGGCCCUGCUUGCCCUCACUGCCCCCAGCGGGGAGGUGAGGCUCUCGGCUGGCUGGCUGGGGGAGGACGGUCCUUGCCAGCAUCUAGCAUGGUUCUCUGCCAAGUUCUAGCUCCAAAUCUCUAGGCCGCUAGGAACCUAGACUAUAUAUAGCAUUGUGCUAAGCAAUUCUUAUCGGACAUGUCUGCCCUCCCCUGCGGGAGAGGAGCCCUUCUCCCAGGGAACCGGAACCUAGAGAGUGUGAGCCUUCUCCAAGGGGUCUUUCGUUCCAGGAAGGGCUGUGUGUGUGUGUGUGUGUGUGUGCGCGCGCGCGCGCGUGGCUGUGUCUGCUUCAGGGCUGCCAAGCUUUCUUUCCUUUUCCCUGUUUCAGAUGCUGCGAGAUCGGAAGGUCUGAUUGGGAUGAGGGCCAGGAGGUUCUUGAUGGUGUGCGAUGUGGCCUAUGGCGUCCACCAGCCUCCCGCAUGUCUUCUUGGUUUCCUGUUUGCCUUCUUUGCCCAAGGAGGUCUUCUGACCUCUUGAGCUUCUUUUGGAUCUCCUGUCUUCCCUGCCCUCCUCUACCUCUUCCUCCUCCUUCCUUUGAUUCUCUUUCGGGUAUGUGACGGCAGACUGGGCUACGGGCAUCCGGGAGCUGUGUCUGCUCGCCGCCCUCACCACCGCCCCCUCCCCCCCCCCACCAGUUUGGGGUUUCUGGAAAUCUGGCUUUAGUCAGCCGUCCUCUGGAGGAAUUGGGUGGUGACUGAGCGUUUCGUGCUGGGUGGUACGGGGCAGAGCAGGCUGGAUAUUUGCCUCCUCCCUCCCGUAGGUGCUGUCGAGCCACCGAUUUUCUGUGGUUCCGCGACCCCGACCGAGUGCUGACUGAUGUGACAGGUUCCGGUCUUGUCAGUGAAUCAUCGCCAAGCUGCUUAUUGGAACCCAGAUGCAGCAAGAAAAUGGGAUUUAACCCCUUCCCAGCCUCUCAGGUAAGUCAGGUGUGGGCUGACGCUUCCGGCCCCACCCCCCCCCCCCCCAGCCCCCUUCCCUUCUCAUGGAGACCGUUUUCCUUAGUCAGUGGGGAAUCCUCAAACGUCUCCAUUCACAAUCUCCCAAACAAUGCUCUCUUCUUUCCAUUCUCCUACUCCUGGCUUUUCUGUGAAUGGGGUUAGUAACCAGCAAGGACUUGGGGGAAGGGCCAGCCACAGUGAUCCGGCUGCCGGGAUGUGGGAGAUGGCAGGGACGCGUUUCUGGGUGUGGCAGUCAGCAGAGCAGUUGGGCCUCCCACAGUGACUGGCCGGGAACUCUCCUUGGCCCCCAACAUCCAGCAUGAGAUUCUGGGUUUGAGCCCGGUUGGGGGCAGGGAGUCUGCCUGGGACUUGGGUGUGCCCUUGCUUGUGUAUCCCAGUGGAUGUUCACUCUGACUCUGGACACCUUGGGGCUUGCGUCUGCAGCCGUAGCCUGGAGUUUAGACUAUGGGCUGGGCAGUAGACUUCAGGGCUCUUUCUCCACUUGCGUGUGUCAUGGGGCUUGUUUUGGGGCUUUUUUUGUUUGUUUUUUUGUUUUGAGUAAAUCACUCUCUUCCUCUAGGCUCUCAUUGCCUUCACCUUAAAAAAAAAAAAAAAAAAUUUCCUGGCCUGGUAAACCAUUGCAAAGCAUCUACAGGCUGUUGACGUACAAAUGUUUUUUCUCUGCCUUACUUGAUGCUGGUCACAGUAAUAGCAACGGUGAUUAAAAAUGAUGUUGGGACUGCAGAACUGGGGAGGCCUGUCGCAUUCUAGAGACAGUUCAGAAAGCAGACCGUAGUCGCUUGCCACGCUGCCUACCAGGAAAUCUCCUAUUGAAUGCAUUCCUGCAACGUUCUGGGCGAGCAGGGUCAGGUUGGAAUUAGCCGACAGCGGAUUUGUCUGGGGUCUCAAGAUAAAAGGGAUGGUCCCCGGUAAUUUUACCGCACACUUGGCUGAUAUCUGGAGGCACCUGUGGGAUCCCACCUCUGCUCUCCCCACCCCCUUCCCAUCACUGGCCAGGAAGGACCGGUGAAUUCUGCCCGUCAGUGUUUUAUCUUCUCUCCUCCCCAUCUGACCGGAGGCUGAGCUGGCUGUGAGCAGCCUGAGGUCCUCCCGGAGUGAGGAAUCCGAGGCUGUUGGGAAGAGACACCCGACUCUUCUCUUCCCUGAAGGAAUUUGACAAGUCUCAGCCCCUCCAGCAGUAACGUGGGGAGGGAUGGCUGGGGGUGUUGGACCUGGAACAUGAAUAAAGAGGAGAGAUCAGCUUUGGUGCAGCUGGGGAGACGAGGAGGAGCUGGCCAAGUCCCUCAAGAUGUGUC